Molecule: ribosomal RNA, 377 nt
Filed under: uncultured eukaryote
Lineage: Eukaryota
Description: partial 18S ribosomal RNA
Rfam family: Eukaryotic small subunit ribosomal RNA
Source: RNAcentral
CAAUAGCGUAUAUUAAAGUUGUUGCAGUUAAAAAGCUCGUAGUUGGAUUUCGGGGUGGCCUGCCUGGUCCACCGCAAGGUGAGUACUGGUCAGCCGCCCUUCCUCUCGAAAGCCCCGACUGCUCUUCAUUGCAGUGGUCGGGUAGUUCGGGACGUUUACUUUGAAAAAAUUAGAGUGUUCAAGGCAGGCUCUCGCCUGAAUACAUUAGCAUGGAAUAAUGGAAGAGGACCUCGGUCCUAUUUUGUUGGUUUCUAGGGCCGAAGUAAUGAUUAAGAGGGACAGUUGGGGGCAUUCGUAUUUAAUUGUCAGAGGUGAAAUUCUUGGAUUUAUGAAAGACGAACUAGUGCGAAAGCAUUUGCCAAGGAUGUUUCCAUUAA